RNAcentral lists this ribosomal RNA (735 nucleotides) under uncultured Arcobacter sp. RNAcentral describes it as "bacterial SSU rRNA". It matches the Rfam family "Bacterial small subunit ribosomal RNA", at positions 28 to 776 of the family's 1533-position model. The record is from RNAcentral. Lineage: Bacteria; Pseudomonadati; Campylobacterota; Epsilonproteobacteria; Campylobacterales; Arcobacteraceae.
AGUGAACGCUGGCGGCGUGCUUAACACAUGCAAGUCGAACGAGAACGGGAUUAGCUUGCUAAUCUGUCAGCUAAGUGGCGCACGGGUGAGUAAUAUAUAGGUAACGUGCCUUCAAGAGGGGGAUAACAGAUGGAAACGUCUGCUAAAACCCCAUAUGCCUUUAAUGCGAAAGUAUGCAAGGGAAAUAUUUAUAGCUUGAAGAUCGGCCUGUACAGUAUCAGAUAGUUGGUGAGGUAAUAGCUCACCAAGUCAAUGACGCUUAACUGGUUUGAGAGGAUGAUCAGUCACACUGGAAUUGAGACACGGUCCAGACUCCUACGGGAGGCAGCAGUGGGGAAUAUUGCACAAUGGGGGAAACCCUGAUGCAGCAACGCCGCGUGGAGGAUGACACAUUUCGGUGCGUAAACUCCUUUUAUAUAAGAAGAUAAUGACGGUAUUAUAUGAAUAAGCACCGGCUAACUCCGUGCCAGCAGCCGCGGUAAUACGGAGGGUGCAAGCGUUACUCGGAAUCACUGGGCGUAAAGAGCGUGUAGGCGGAUAGAUAAGUCAGAAGUGAAAUCCAAUAGCUUAACUAUUGAACUGCUUUUGAAACUGUCUAUCUAGAGUAUGGGAGAGGUAGAUGGAAUUUCUGGUGUAGGGGUAAAAUCCGUAGAGAUCAGAAGGAAUACCGAUUGCGAAGGCGAUCUACUGGAACAUAACUGACGCUGAGACGCGAAAGCGUGGGGAGCAAACAGG